This 383-nucleotide ribosomal RNA is filed under the name Petasospora fabianii. RNAcentral's name for it is "eukaryotic LSU rRNA". It matches the Rfam family "Eukaryotic large subunit ribosomal RNA", at positions 75 to 459 of the family's 3401-position model. The record is from RNAcentral. Lineage: Eukaryota; Fungi; Ascomycota; Saccharomycetes; Phaffomycetales; Wickerhamomycetaceae.
UUGCCUCAGUACGGCGAGUGAGCGGCAAAGCUCAAAUUUGAAAUCUAGUACCUUCGGUGCUCGAGUUGUAAUUUGAAGGUAGUUUUCUGGUGCUGGCCCUUGUCUAUGUUCCUUGGAACAGGACGUCAUAGAGGGUGAGAAUCCCGUCUGAUGGGGUGUCCAGUGCUUUGUAGAUUUCUACCGAAGAGUCGAGUUGUUUGGGAAUGCAGCUCUAAGUGGGUGGUAAAUUCCAUCUAAAGCUAAAUACUGGCGAGAGACCGAUAGCGAACAAGUACAGUGAUGGAAAGAUGAAAAGAACUUUGAAAAGAGAGUGAAAAAGUACGUGAAAUUGUUGAAAGGGAAGGGUAUUGGAUCAGACUUGGUGUCUUGUGAUUAUCUUCCCU